This is a long non-coding RNA of Armigeres subalbatus, 4142 nucleotides long. RefSeq lists it as uncharacterized. The transcript is spliced from 2 exons. NCBI's taxonomy places the organism in Eukaryota, Metazoa, Arthropoda, Insecta, Diptera, Culicidae. The record is from RefSeq and is a predicted model, not a curated record.
AAUGAAAAUCAACUGUCGUGGAAAUGGAUCAGGAAAAACUUAAUAACUAAUAUUUUUGCAACUGUCCCGGAUUUAAUUAUACAUUUUUAUUUUUUAGCUGCAUUAUUGUUCUAUCAUCGGAACAUCCAACAUGCCAGUAUUUUCGAUCGUAGAGGAUUACGUAACAAUUUUCUCAAUCAUGUAAACCGAAUGAUGGUCCUGAUUCUUCAGUAGUUUUUCGAUUCACAGACGAACGAUCCAAAACUACGGAUUUAUCAAAAUUCCUGCCGAAAGUUGCCGCAAAAAAUAAUAUCGGUUGAAAUGCAUCGUAGCUCGUCUGGUUCUCCAUCUAAUUUGAGAUCCUCCUUAUCAAACAAUUUCUGCUCCAAUCCGUUACAAACGGCUCAUAUUCUGAAAAUUUAUCGGCAAUCUCUCAGCACAUGCAUAUACAAGUGGCUCUUCUCCGAUGCUGGUAUAGCGCACCUCGAUACUUUGCCUUUAGGCAAUGGUGUUUCAGUCCGGAGCAUCUCCGGGACGGACAAAAGGAAUAUGUUUAUUAUUUGAAUCUUAGCAUGUUUGAUUGUCUGAAUACUGACUGUACUUCAAAUCUAUUGAUUGUUUUGAGAUUUUGUGGAUGUAUGAAUAUUGUAGCACUCCUCAAUUUAAAAAGUGAUGAUACAGCUUGUUAUGGAACCUAAUUUUUUUUUCUAACGAUACUCUGCUUACAUAUUUUAUUCAUCCAUAAAAAAACAAAGAACUUCGUAAAUUAAUUCCUUUUGCAUAUAAUGUUGAAGAUUACCUUUUAUAAAGGCUACUCUAGUCGAUAUAAUACCAACAAUCAAUAUGAAACUGGCGAUUUUUUCGUGGUUCCAGUUUCGCAUGCUAUGAACGAUCCUUGGUACCCAGUAAUGUAAUCGGUAAUCAGUACGUAGUUUUUUAUCGUUUUAGAACAUCGAAGCAAUCUGUACUCUUUACUCCCAUUAGAGACAAUUGACAUUGUUUGUGUUAUUUAGUAAUCUCUUUUCUUCUGCAGCAUUUGCGUGAAAUGUCAUUUUCUUCAACGAAAAUUAAAAGAUCAAUCGUUCGCCUUACUUUGUAUCACCCUGAUCUCGGUGUUUUUUUAUCUCCAAUUUGUUUUAUUUUAGUGCAAACGGAUUCCUAAUAAUAUCAAACUCAUUGUAACGUCUACCGAAUCCAUUCCUAUGCAUACCGCUCCGCCAGCGGUUAUUUUGGACUACAAAAUGCAUGGAGGAACGUAACGCGUGGAGCCGAUCUUCCAGAGCUACCGUGAAACAAGGAGGAGAAUGCUCGAAAGUAUGCAAGAGCAAUUCUUGGAAGCACUUCCGGAGGAAUUCCUGGAGGCACUUCAAAUUCCUUACGAUUCACCUUUUAAAUCUCUUGCUAUUUCCAAUGGAAUGGUAUCAGUGGCCGAUGGCUGGCCGGUUGAUUAUACAGUCGGUGAUAUGGCUGACGGGCGGCCGGACGGAGAAUUGGCCGACAGGUGGUCGGGCGACAAUACGGCCAACAGCGGCUUGGACGAAGAGGUGGUCGGUGGGUUGUAAAGCCGGUAUCAAACGACCGCUUGUUGAAACGUACGGCGGGAAUCCGACUAUGUGCCGGACUAUAAUACGGAUGCGGCUCACGAUUCUAGCCAGGCGACGAAGUUCCCAACCAAUAAUUCGGAGUUUGGAAAUUUACCACCUCGUGAUUUGGGAAAAUGUCACGAAUCACCAGUUCCAAUGGACCAAUUUUACAAGAAAGAAACACCUCUCUUUCCAUCAAAGCCAGAAGUCACACUCCACUCAGUUGCUUUCGUUUUCCUUUCUCCAGCCCUUUGGCUUGGUACUCAUUUGCCCACAGAAAUCAUGCGUUCAGUAUUUCCGCCUUUAAAUGUUGUUUCGCACUGGACAAGGCGCUCAUUUUAUUGGCUUGCGUUUCGACCACCCAAAGCAAGAAACCCACCGUUUGAAAAAAAAACAAAUCUGACAAAAUAUUCAUCACACUCGAAUUAACAAAAAGUAUACAACUGUUACCGCCGGUAACACACGAUUUCAAUUUAAUUCGGAGACCAUCUUCAACCGUAAAACAUCUAUGGUGUAGAUUUCAAAGGGCGCAAAUGUCGAUUAGGGAUAAUAAGGGACCGGACUGGUUAACUCCUUUUAUUGUAUGUAGUUUAUAGAAUUAAGUUAAGAGAUAAUAUUAUUGAUAAAUUUGAAUUUAUAGUUUGAGCUACCGGUAUGGGUUAGCUAAAAAAGAACUGGUUUCUACCCAAACAGUCAUUUUAUUUCUUUUACUUCAGAGCGAAGUCUCAGAGCAAUGAUAUGCGCCCGCAGAAAAAGCUCGCGUAUGCAGUGGACACAUCCAAAGCGGAUCUUCUUCUUGGAAUCCGCUUUUUCUCGAUAAUUCAGAAGCAAAGGAAAAAACCAUGGUCCAUCAUGCAGAUUCGUUCCGUGUUAAGUGUUCUCACUCGGGGAAAAUCACCAGCAUGAAACAAAAUCAUAAAUAAAAGUCAAUGAAUCAUGCAUGAGAAAACAUUAGUCUGCAGUAUAGUAGCCUGUCCAAGUUCGCGGCAUAGCGUCAAACAUCAAUCUACGACUCUACUUCACGACAUCACCAGUUGUAAAAAGAAAUGUUAAAAUUUGACAAGCAAAAACUUACCCCCGCCCAUAAACUUGAAACUGUAUUGUACUUAUCUCUAGUGUUGUAGUGAGUGUGUAAAAAUGAAAAUGUGUAUCUCUUGGCCGAGGUUCUGGGCCAUCCGAAUGACAAUCUACAGGUUUUCUUUUGUUUUCGAUAGCUAUAAACACAAGAAGGCGAAAUACGCUACGAGCAUCAAGUCUAUCAAGUGGAAGACUUUUUUCGGAUCCUAAUAAAUAAAUUAACAAAUAAAUCGUCAUAUCAUUACUCUUUAUUAAAUACAAAGUAAACCUUGAUUGGUAUUUGGAGUUUUAAAUUUUAAUAUAAAUAAAAUGUAAAAAUCAAGACAAUUUACUCAUUAUGUGGUUUUCUUAAAAUUAAGCCAUCCGGAUAUUUUCCACAAGUUCUUUUAGAAGCUGCUUAGAAGCUUUUAUAACUUCGUGACAGCUGGCGGUUUUUUCUCUGAUAUUGGCUUUGCAACGUUGAAACUUAAACCCAUACUUUUUAAUAUAUCUUAUCUCAUUAACUGUGAAUAAAAUAUAUUUGGCCUUUCACGUUCAAUGAAAAAUAUUGUACGUUUCUCUUUUUCCUUUCUUUUCCAUAAGAAAUAGGGUACUCGACAAAGGCUUCGCCAAGAGCGGUGGGAGUUCACGCUUCAGCUUUGACUAUAGUUACUUGAGAUAUCAAUUGGAUUUAGGUCUAGUAUUGCAGUGUAAAUAUCUGUUGUUUCAGUUUUGCUUCAGAAUUUCAUUUCAAAAUUGUUUCAGAAACAUAAAAUUUUACUUAGGAUUGUAGAAAUCUCUUUAUUCUAAUAGAUUGCUUAGCACACUGAAAUAAACUAACACUUGUUGUUAUCUCUCAUAAAACUCAACCCAUCUGUUUAUUGCUCCCAGUAUUUAUAGUAUUAUAAACAAUAGCUUUUGUUUACCACUGAUAAUGAUUACAUCAACAUCGUUUCACAUUCUUUUCUGCAUCCUAGCACUAUUACUAUCGUAAUUAUUAUUCAAUUCUCGGAACUAGCCGUCGGUUCAUUUCACUUGCUCUGCACUGACCGAAAACACUAUAUCCAACAAUACCUUUCCCUUCUAGUUAAUUUCAUGUAAAUUAAAUUAAAUUUGAUCAUAUUACUCUUAGUAUUAUAAUAAUUCAAAAAUAUGUAUUAUCAGUUCAAAAUUUAGUUCAUGUAUACAAAUGCAUCAUCAUGUUUCUUUUUCUUCAGUCUACUUGACCUUCGUGGAGUUCUAGAUUCAUUUCUAAUCAGCUGUUGCACCGGCCGUUGAAAAGGUUGUAAUGAGAUUGGGUGUAGUUCGCGACUGGCGGGCAUGGGUUGUUCUGGUUCGAAACCGAGGAAUUCAUCUGCGCUAUCGUCGGCCUCCGAGAACGUUCGUUUGGUUCCUCGUGCAUGGAUUUCGCUUCGAUCCGCCCUCUCUGGUAUAGUACGUGUUCCACCAUUUCCGCCUUCGCUGUCAGAGAAGUGGAGCGUACAAUGACGCCUUCGUCCACUCUGACUAUUCUGAAUCUUCACC